CUAACAUGUAAAGUAGCAUAUGUCGUGCCUAAAAUUAUAAAUCCAUAGAUGAUUACCUAUCUCGGAGCAGCAUGUACAGGAAGCUGAAGUAUGACCAGCCUAACCAGUAGAGGAGCCUUAACUUUAGUCAUUUCACUCCAGACUUGUCCGAAAAUUUCAGUCUUCGAAAACCAAAGGAUUUUCUAUGGAGCUAGAGUAACAUGACUAAGAAUCGAAGUAGAAUUGAAUGCUUCUGUCUCCAGUUGUUAAAAGAAUAGCCAAGUAAUAAUUUGUCUUCUACUUUUUUAUGUCACUCAUGUCAAACUAAAACCAGGGAGUUUCUCAGGUCCUUUCUUCCUCGCUAUGAUUUUGAUCUUCUCCACAUCCUUCCACUUCCCUUGUCCAGCAUAUAUGUUGGACAAAAUAACAAAGGGAAUUGCGCUUUCAGGCUCCAACUCUGAAAGUCUCUUAGCCAUUUCUUCUUCCAGCUUGGAAUAUGAAUAAUACUUACAAGCCCCAAGCAAAGAAGCCAAAACAAAAGCAGAUCUUUCUGAUAUCCCUUGUUAUUCACAAGCUUCGCCCAGCCUGCCUGACCGACAAAGGAGAUCAAUCAUGAUAUUGAUUUGUUCGGGAGUUGGAUUUAGACUAUAGUCUUCAUUCAUCAAUCCAAAAAUCUGCCAUCCUUUUUCAAUUUGACCAGUAUGACUACAAACAGACAAAAAGCAAUUAGAAGUAACUAAUUUUGGCUCAACUUUGUUCUCGAUCAUCCGAUUGAAUAUUUCAAAAGCAGCAUCACUCUCCCCAUUCCUUUCAUACCCAGAAAUCAUAGCAUUCCAGAGUCAGUAGUAGUGCCAAUCGGUUGACUGCUGUUGGAACUCACAAUUUCUUCACUAAGGUCAUUAGUGUAUAGUAGCAAACUCACAAAAACAUCUGUAAAAAGAGGGAGAUGACUACGAAGUUGAGGAAACGAGCCCGUACUACUGAACAACUUAUUCUCCCAAAAGGUAACAUGAUGUGAAACUCGAAGAGGCUGGUCAAUAGGGUCACAACAACAACUUUUAUGUUCAAUACCAUAUCCUAGAAAACAUCACAAACGAGAACAAGGUUGUAACUUUCUAUGUUCAUGAGGUUGAAGAACAAAACACACACCCCCGAACACCACAAGCGAGUGAUAAUCAGGAAUUUUCCUAUAGAGCAACUCAUAGGGCGACUUAUGGUGUGUGACAGGCGAAGGAAUACGAUUGAUUGUGUAAAUCGCAGUGAGAACAGCUUCAUCUCAAAACGAUUCUGGAAUAGAAGAAGAAAGAUAUGGCGAUGCUUGCGCUCAGCACACCCAUUCUGUUGAAAGGUGCUAGGACAAGAGUGAUGGGGAAUCGUGCCAUUUUGUUUUAAAGUGACAAGAAAAGAGGAUUCUCUAUACUCCUUGGCAUUAUCAGAUCGAAAAAUUUUAAUUGAACGAGAAAAUUGAGUUUG
Molecule: long non-coding RNA, 1452 nt
Filed under: Olea europaea subsp. europaea
Lineage: Eukaryota; Viridiplantae; Streptophyta; Magnoliopsida; Lamiales; Oleaceae
Source: RNAcentral